UAGAUGGUGUAAUGGUUAUCACACUCGGGUCACAAUCGAGGGAGUUAGGGUUCGAAUCCGGGUCGAAUAA
Molecule: non-coding RNA, 70 nt
Organism: Halocaridina rubra (Hawaiian volcano shrimp)
Lineage: Eukaryota; Metazoa; Arthropoda; Malacostraca; Decapoda; Atyidae
Source: the annotation of a GenBank genome assembly